RNAcentral lists this long non-coding RNA (649 nucleotides) under Vigna radiata. RNAcentral's name for it is "long non-coding RNA (VRAD_LNC010619)". Lineage: Eukaryota; Viridiplantae; Streptophyta; Magnoliopsida; Fabales; Fabaceae. The record is from RNAcentral.
AGAACUUCUUGUAAAUGCACUAAUGAAAAAUGCUUCAUUCAUUGCUUGUUGGUGUUUUUGUCUUUCUCUUAAUGCUAGUUAUGACUUGAUCAACCAUAUCUUGAUUGUGGGGUUUACUUAAGGUUGGGAAACAUUGGGUGAACCUUGAACUAGACUAAACACCUAAGGGAAAUAGUGUCUAGGGAUAGAGCUAGAACCAUUAGUUGUCUUAAACUUCUUUUCUUAAUGCGGGUGAGUUUGUUGGAUUACCAAGGGAUUGGGAUGUAACAAAUGAACUUAGGCUAUCUCACCAAGGAAUUGGGUUUUAGUAAUUUAGCUAGUUGACAAGAACAAGUAAUUGAUGAAGGGUAGUGUAGUGCAUUUGCAUAGAAGGAAUUAGUGAAAUCAUUCUCCAACAUGUUCAUUCCACAUAGUUAUCAAUCAUUUCAUAUUCACUUGUUUUGGCCCCAAGUAGCUCAAACUUUUACUUAUGCAUAAAUUUUACUUUCAUUGCACAAUACCAAACAAAAAUGGAAUCAUUCUUUAGUUUGAAUUAGUUAGUAAUUAUACGAUCGUAGAGUAAUAACGAAGUCUCUUGGGAAACGAUAUCCGGUCUUAUCGGUAUUACUACUUGAGCGAUUUGGUACACUUGCCAAAGUCUCAACACUCA